CGCGGGAAUUCGAUUUUCCGGUUGAUCCUGCCGGAGAUCACUGCUAUCAGGAUUCGAUUAAGCCAUGCGAGUCGAGAGGGUUCGGCCCUCGGCAUACUGCUCAGUAACACGUGGAUAAUCUACCCUCGGGCGGGGGACAAUCUCGGGAAACUGAGGAUAAUACCCCAUAGACAUCCGAUGCUGGAAUGCCCGGAUGUUGAAAGCUCCGGCGCCUGAGGAUGAGUCUGCGGCCUAUCAGGUCGUAGUGAGUGUAACGGACUCACUAGCCUACGACGGGUACGGGCCUUGAGAGAGGUAACCCGGAGAUGGACUCUGAGACACGAGUCCAGGCCCUACGGGGCGCAGCAGGCGCGAAAACUUCGCAAUGCGGGAAACCGCGACGAGGGAAUCCUGAGUGCCUAUACAUUUGUAUAGGCUGUUUAUGUGCCUAAAAAGCACGUAGAGUAAGAGCUGGGUAAGACCGGUGCCAGCCGCCGCGGUAAUACCGGCAGCUCGAGUGGUGGUCGUUUUUACUGGGCCUAAAGCGUCCGUAGCCGGUUGAGUAAAUCCCUGGGUAAAUCGUGUCGCUUAACGAUACGACUUCCGGGGACACUGCUCGACUUGGGACCGGGAGAGGUUGGAGGUACUCCGGGGGUAGGGGUGAAAUCCUGUAAUCCCCGGGGGACCACCUGUGGCGAAGGCGUCCAGCUAGAACGGCUCCGACGGUAAGGGACGAAGCCCUGGGUCGCAAACCGGAUUAGAUACCCGGGUAGUCCAGGGUGUAAACGCUGCGGGCUUGGUGUUGGAGGUUCUACGAGUUC
This 800-nucleotide ribosomal RNA is filed under the name uncultured archaeon. Its description in RNAcentral is "bacterial SSU rRNA". It matches the Rfam family "Archaeal small subunit ribosomal RNA", at positions 1 to 792 of the family's 1478-position model. The record is from RNAcentral.